GAUGAUUACUCUGGCAUCGUUGAUGGGAGUUGGAUUAAAAAGACAAGAAAAGCAGAAGCCUAUGUUCCAUGUGCAAGUCACAGAUUAAAUACAGAGCAAGGAUUGCAGAGAACACUUAGAAAGCCAUUCCAGUAUUGGAGAAUUAUGAGUUCUCUACAUUCGACAAGUAUUACCAAAAGUCUACUGGCAACAUCUGGACAAUUAAGCAGAUACAAGAAUAAAAAAGACAUAUGCUUUGUCCUCAAGCACUUAACAUUUAGCAGGCAAAAACAUAACUAUAGUCCAAAUGGGAGGUGAAAUUUGUUUCUUACAGGUGCUCAGUGGAAAAGAGAGAAGGAAUGUUAUCUUUGGGAUAUCCAAACAGUGUUUUCCAUAUUUAAUCUUCAUGACAGACUUGCAAAAG
This 403-nucleotide long non-coding RNA is filed under the name Homo sapiens (human). RNAcentral describes it as "HSALNT0373872". The record is from RNAcentral. Lineage: Eukaryota; Metazoa; Chordata; Mammalia; Primates; Hominidae.